Molecule: ribosomal RNA, 253 nt
Filed under: uncultured Oscillospira sp.
Lineage: Bacteria; Bacillati; Bacillota; Clostridia; Eubacteriales; Oscillospiraceae
Description: partial 16S ribosomal RNA
Rfam family: Bacterial small subunit ribosomal RNA
Source: RNAcentral
UACGGAGGAUGCGAGCGUUAUCCGGAUUUAUUGGGUUUAAAGGGCGUGUAGGCGGGAAAGCAAGUCAGAUGUGAAAACCAUGGGCUCAACCUGUGGCCUGCAUUUGAAACUGUUUUUCUUGAGUACUGGAGAGGCAGACGGAAUUCCUAGUGUAGCGGUGAAAUGCGUAGAUAUUAGGAGGAACACCAGUGGCGAAGGCGACUUACUGGACUGUAACUGACGCUGAGGCAUGAGAGCAUGGGGAGCAAACAGG